Long non-coding RNA from Schistocerca piceifrons (Central American locust), 300 nucleotides. RefSeq lists it as uncharacterized. The transcript has 3 exons. NCBI's taxonomy places the organism in Eukaryota, Metazoa, Arthropoda, Insecta, Orthoptera, Acrididae. The record is from RefSeq and is a predicted model, not a curated record.
GGCCGCCAGUCGCAGCUGACGGUCGCUGUCUCGUUGCGCUUGUGGUUUCGCGUCGCUCGCGUUUGCGAGAUUACGGUCCGGUCGUGUGUGCUAAAGAGCGUGUGCUCGUGUGUGUGUGUUCUGUGAGUCCGCCUAGCGUCGAGCUACUGAAUUUCUUCGUACCACUGACAUUGGUUUUUCCCAAGAACUGGUACGGCGCACUGACGAACGCUCUGCUGUCAGGAGCGCGAGUCGGGAGUGACGCAGUCCCGGCUUGCUGGAACUCUGGAAGAGGAUCUGGUCGUCUCUUCGCUCUCAACG